CACAGUGACACGAACACCCGCUUUCUUUUUUUUUCUCUCGUUUCGGCGCCAUUUUCGAUUGGGCUGGAGGUUUGGCCAGUGAGUCCAGCUGGGUUCCGGACCGAUGGACACGUAUCGCCGGGUCGACAGUGUCACAGCGCUGUGCUGCAGGAUCUUCAGCUGGGGGCUUCUAUGACAUUGAAGUGUUACUGACCUGUCCAAGAUGAGGCCAUGUGGAAUGUAGACCCUCUCCAAGUCACUGGC
Long non-coding RNA from Scleropages formosus (Asian bonytongue), 243 nucleotides. RefSeq lists it as uncharacterized. The transcript has 3 exons. NCBI's taxonomy places the organism in Eukaryota, Metazoa, Chordata, Actinopteri, Osteoglossiformes, Osteoglossidae. The record is from RefSeq and is a predicted model, not a curated record.